UUCCUGGUGGUCCAGUGGUUAAGACUCUGUGCUCCCAGUGCAGGGGGCUUAGGUUCAAUCCCUGGUCAGGGAA
This 73-nucleotide transfer RNA is filed under the name Capra hircus (goat). It matches the Rfam family "tRNA". Rfam says of the family: Transfer RNA (tRNA) molecules are approximately 80 nucleotides in length. Their secondary structure includes four short double-helical elements and three loops (D, anti-codon, and T loops). Further hydrogen bonds mediate the characteristic L-shaped molecular structure. tRNAs have two regions of fundamental functional importance: the anti-codon, which is responsible for specific mRNA codon recognition, and the 3' end, to which the tRNAs corresponding amino acid is attached (by aminoacyl-tRNA synthetases). tRNAs cope with the degeneracy of the genetic code in two manners: having more than one tRNA (with a specific anti-codon) for a particular amino acid; and 'wobble' base-pairing, i.e. permitting non-standard base-pairing at the 3rd anti-codon position. The record is from Rfam by way of RNAcentral. Lineage: Eukaryota; Metazoa; Chordata; Mammalia; Artiodactyla; Bovidae. RNAcentral also lists the same sequence under 1 other name.